RNAcentral lists this transfer RNA (75 nucleotides) under Clostridiales bacterium. RNAcentral's name for it is "tRNA-Gly". It matches the Rfam family "tRNA". Rfam says of the family: Transfer RNA (tRNA) molecules are approximately 80 nucleotides in length. Their secondary structure includes four short double-helical elements and three loops (D, anti-codon, and T loops). The record is from RNAcentral. Lineage: Bacteria; Bacillati; Bacillota; Clostridia; Eubacteriales.
GUGCCAUUGGUGUAUCUGGUAGCAUCACAGUCUUCCAAACUGUGGAAACGAGUUCAAAUCUCGUAUGGCACUCCA